RNAcentral lists this ribosomal RNA (492 nucleotides) under uncultured bacterium. RNAcentral describes it as "partial 16S ribosomal RNA". It matches the Rfam family "Bacterial small subunit ribosomal RNA", at positions 29 to 507 of the family's 1533-position model. The record is from RNAcentral.
AGUGAACGCUGGCGGUAGGCCUAACACAUGCAAGUCGAACGGCAGCACAGUAAGAGCUUGCUCUUACGGGUGGCGAGUGGCGGACGGGUGAGGAAUACAUCGGAAUCUACUUUUUCGUGGGGGAUAACGUAGGGAAACUUACGCUAAUACCGCAUACGACCUACGGGUGAAAGCAGGGGAUCUUCGGACCUUGCGCGAUUGAAUGAGCCGAUGUCGGAUUAGCUAGUUGGCGGGGUAAAGGCCCACCAAGGCGACGAUCCGUAGCUGGUCUGAGAGGAUGAGCAGCCACACUGGAACUGAGACACGGUCCAGACUCCUACGGGAGGCAGCAGUGGGGAAUAUUGGACAAUGGGCGCAAGCCUGAUCCAGCCAUACCGCGUGGGUGAAGAAGGCCUUCGGGUUGUAAAGCCCUUUUGUUGGGAAAGAAAAGCAGCAGAUUAAUACCCCGCUGUUCUGACGGUACCCAAAGAAUAAGCACCGGCUAACUUCGUG